UACAGAGGGUGCUAGCGUUGUUCGGAAUUAUUGGGCGUAAAGGGCGCGUAGGCGGCCCAGUGUGUCGGGUGUGAAAGCCCACCUCUUAAAGGUGGAAUUGCAUUCGAAACUACCGGGCUGGAGUGUCGGAGAGGAUGGCGGAAUUCCUGGUGUAGAGGUGAAAUUCGUAGAUAUCAGGAGGAACACCGGUGGCGAAGGCGGUUCUCUGGGCAUGUCCUGACGCUGAGGAGCGAAAGUGUGGGGAGCGAACAGG
RNAcentral lists this ribosomal RNA (253 nucleotides) under uncultured bacterium. Its description in RNAcentral is "partial 16S ribosomal RNA". It matches the Rfam family "Bacterial small subunit ribosomal RNA", at positions 524 to 776 of the family's 1533-position model. The record is from RNAcentral.